Molecule: ribosomal RNA, 492 nt
Filed under: uncultured bacterium
Lineage: Bacteria
Description: partial 16S ribosomal RNA
Rfam family: Bacterial small subunit ribosomal RNA
Source: RNAcentral
AUUGAACGCUGGCGGCAUGCUUUACACAUGCAAGUCGAACGGUAACAGGCCUUCGGGUGCUGACGAGUGGCGAACGGGUGCGUAAUGCAUCGGAACGUGCCCAGAGGUGGGGGAUAACGCAGCGAAAGCUGUGCUAAUACCGCAUGUGAUCUGAGGAUGAAAGCGGGGGACCAGGCAGCAAUGUUUGGCCUCGCGCCUUUGGAGCGGCCGAUGUCAGAUUAGGUAGUUGGUGGGGUAAAGGCCUACCAAGCCGACGAUCUGUAGCUGGUCUGAGAGGACGACCAGCCACACUGGGACUGAGACACGGCCCAGACUCCUACGGGAGGCAGCAGUGGGGAAUUUUGGACAAUGGGCGCAAGCCUGAUCCAGCAAUGCCGAGUGCGGGAAGAAGGCCUUCGGGUUGUAAACCGCUUUUGUACGGAACGAAAAGGCUCUGGCUAAUACCUGGGGCUGAUGACGGUACCGUAAGAAUAAGCACCGGCUAACUACGUG